UCCCUGAUGGUCUACUGGCUAGAACUUGGCGCUUUCACUGCUGUGGUCCAGGUUUGAUCCCUGGUCUAGGAA
RNAcentral lists this transfer RNA (72 nucleotides) under Sus scrofa (pig). It matches the Rfam family "tRNA". Rfam says of the family: Transfer RNA (tRNA) molecules are approximately 80 nucleotides in length. The record is from Rfam by way of RNAcentral. Lineage: Eukaryota; Metazoa; Chordata; Mammalia; Artiodactyla; Suidae.